Molecule: small nucleolar RNA, 95 nt
Organism: Xyrauchen texanus (razorback sucker)
Lineage: Eukaryota; Metazoa; Chordata; Actinopteri; Cypriniformes; Catostomidae
Product: small nucleolar RNA U13
Exons: 1
Source: RefSeq, a predicted model, not a curated record
AUCCUUCUGGUUCAGCCAAAUGAUGACUGGUUUAAUCACGUUUGUACGUGAUAUGUGCUGCCGUCUUGUUACGCUCGCACAAAAACCAUCUGAUC